GACGAACGCUGGCGGCGUGCUUAACACAUGCAAGUCGAACGGAAAGGCCCUGCUUUUGUGGGGUGCUCGAGUGGCGAACGUGUGAGUAACACGUGAGUAACCUGCCCUUGACUUUGGUAUAACUUCAGGACACUUGGUCUAAUACCGGAUAGGAGCUCCUGCUGCUUGGUGGGUGUUGGAAAGUUUCGGCGGUUGGGGAUGGACUCUCGGCUUAUCAGCUUGUUGGUGUGGUAGUGGCUUACCAAGGCUUUGACGGGUAGCCGGCCUGAGAGGGUGACCGGCGACAUUGGGACUGAGAUACGGGCCAGACUCCUACGGGAGGCAGAAGUGGGGAAAAUUGCACAAUGGGCGGAAGACUGAUGCAGCAAAGCCGCGUGCGGGAUGACGGGCUUCGGGUUGUAAACCGCGUUCGCCUGUGACGAAGCGUGAGUGACGGUAAUGGGUAAAGAAGCACCGGCUAACUACGUG
This 468-nucleotide ribosomal RNA is filed under the name uncultured bacterium. RNAcentral describes it as "partial 16S ribosomal RNA". It matches the Rfam family "Bacterial small subunit ribosomal RNA", at positions 28 to 507 of the family's 1533-position model. The record is from RNAcentral.